RNAcentral lists this unclassified non-coding RNA (281 nucleotides) under Corticium sp. (in: basidiomycete fungi). RNAcentral's name for it is "Corticium sp. (in: Fungi) partial contains 5.8S ribosomal RNA, internal transcribed spacer 2, and large subunit ribosomal RNA". The record is from RNAcentral. Lineage: Eukaryota; Fungi; Basidiomycota; Agaricomycetes; Corticiales; Corticiaceae.
CGCACCUUGCACUCCUUGGUAUUCCGAGGAGUAUGCCUGUUUGAGUGUCUUGUAAUCAUCAAUCUAACAUUGCUUUUGUGAUGCUGGAUUGGAUUUGGAGACUGCUGGUCUUACGAUUGGCUUCUCUUGAAUGCAUUAGUUGAAUCGAGUUGCAACGCUACGUGUGGUGUGAUAAUAUCUUCACUGCAUAGUUGUAAUGACGUUUGGCUUCUAACAGUCCUUCAUUGGACAAUACUUGACCAUUUGACCUCAAAUCAGGUAGGACUACCCGCUGAACUUAA